This 74-nucleotide transfer RNA is filed under the name Dermacentor andersoni. Its description in RNAcentral is "transfer RNA isoleucine (anticodon AAU)". It matches the Rfam family "tRNA". From Rfam's summary of the family: Transfer RNA (tRNA) molecules are approximately 80 nucleotides in length. The record is from RNAcentral. Lineage: Eukaryota; Metazoa; Arthropoda; Arachnida; Ixodida; Ixodidae.
GGCCUGCUAGCUCAGUCGGUUAGAGCGUCCUGCUAAUAACGCGAAGGUCGUAGGUUCGAUCCCUGCGCUUGCCA